Molecule: ribosomal RNA, 501 nt
Filed under: uncultured bacterium
Lineage: Bacteria
Description: partial 16S ribosomal RNA
Rfam family: Bacterial small subunit ribosomal RNA
Source: RNAcentral
AUUGAACGCUGGCGGCAGGCUCAACACAUGCAAGUCGAGCGGGGGAAGGUAGCUUGCUACCGGACCUAGCGGCGGACGGGUGAGUAAUGCUUAGGAAUCUGCCUAUUAGUGGGGGACAACAACUCGAAAGGGAUGCUAAUACCGCAUACGUCCUACGGGAGAAAGCCGGGGAUAUUCGGACCUUGCGCUAAUAGAUGAGCCUAAGUCGGAUUAGCUAGUUGGUGGGGUAAAGGCCUACCAAGGCGACGAUCUGUAGCGGGUCUGAGAGGAUGAUCCGCCACACUGGGACUGAGACACGGCCCAGACUCCUACGGGAGGCAGCAGUGGGGAAUAUUGGACAAUGGGGGGAACCCUGAUCCAGCCAUGCCGCGUGUGUGAAGAAGGCCUUAUGGUUGUAAAGCACUUUAAGCGAGGAGGAGGCUACUUUAGUUAAUACCUAGAGAUAGUGGACGUUACUCGCAGAAUAAGCACCGGCUAACUCUGUGCCAGCCGCCGCGGUAA